AUGAGCGGCGGAGCGGGGGCGGCGGCGGCGGUGAGCAGGUUCAUCAAGUGCGUGGCCGUGGGCGACGGCGCCGUGGGCAAGACCUGCAUGCUCAUCUGCUACACCUGCAACAAGUUCCCCACCGACUACAUCCCCACAGUGUUCGACAACUUCAGCGCCAAUGUCUCCGUGGACGGCAGCAUCGUCAACCUCGGCCUCUGGGACACCGCAGGUCAGGAGGAUUACAGCAGGCUGAGGCCUCUGAGCUACAGGGGAGCCGAUGUCUUCAUCCUCUCCUUCUCCCUCACCAGCAGAGCAAGCUAUGAGAAUGUGCACAAGAAGUGGAUGCCGGAGCUUCGCCGGUACGCCCCCGGCAUUCCUGUACUACUUGUUGGAACCAAGUUGGAUCUCCGAGAAGAUAGAGCAUAUCUUGCUGAUCAUGCAGCUGAUUCCAUCAUAACAACUGAGCAGGGUGAGGAGCUUCGGAGACAAAUAGGUGCGGUGGCAUACAUAGAAUGCAGCUCCAAGACACAAAGGAACAUUAAGGCUGUUUUCGACACCGCAAUCAAGGCAGUUCUUCAACCUCAAAGGCACAAGGAGGUAGCCAGAAAGGAAAUUCGGACUCGCUCUAGUCGGUCAGUAAGGCGCUACUUCUGCGGGAGUGUUUGCUUAGCAUAG
This 657-nucleotide ribosomal RNA is filed under the name Triticum aestivum (bread wheat). Its description in RNAcentral is "partial small subunit ribosomal RNA". Lineage: Eukaryota; Viridiplantae; Streptophyta; Magnoliopsida; Poales; Poaceae. The record is from RNAcentral.